AACCGAGGGGGCUAAACCACCUCCUACUUUCACUCAGGCCUUACUUCCCCUCUUUUUGUCCCAAGAGUCCUCCUCUCCCCUUCUUCUCAUCCCUCUUUACCCUAUUCUGGAGGCCACAACUAAGCGGAUCACGAGGCUUGUUCUAAGAACACAUAGCCUUGCCCCCCUCUUUCUUUCUCUAACUUUCACUUUCUUUUUCUUUCUUUUUUCAAUUUUCCCUUUUUUUCCCUUUGGAUUGUUCUAUCGUAUUUGUCCAACCCAACCUUCCGCUCAGCAUGUAGUUUACGAUCGAACAAAGGCUGCAAAUGGCACGUCAUCACAGCAUAAGUGCAACAGGUUUGAAAGAUGAGUAUUUUUUAGUAAUAUGCUAUCGUUUAUGUAAAAAAAAACGUAUCAGUGGAUGAGAUAGAAAACAAGCAUAUUAUUAAGAUAUCAUUUGGAAUCAAUAAAUAUUUGUACAGCAAUUAUCAAUUGGCAAAUAUUCCAUUACAGUGGAUGUUGUAAAUUAAAAAAAAAAAAAAAAAAAGAAAAACA
Molecule: long non-coding RNA, 534 nt
Organism: Polistes dominula (European paper wasp)
Lineage: Eukaryota; Metazoa; Arthropoda; Insecta; Hymenoptera; Vespidae
Source: RefSeq, a predicted model, not a curated record